UGGAGUAUGGUCGCAAGGCUGAAACCAAAGGAAUUGACGGGGGGCUCACACAANCGGUGGAGGAUGUGGCUUAAUUCGAGCUACCGAAGAACCUUAUCCUGGUCUUGACAUGCACGGAUGGGCUACCUGAAAGGGAUAGUUCCGNCUUCGGGUGAAACGUGCACAGGUGCUGCAUGGCUGUCGUCAGCUCGUGUCGUGAGAUUCGGGUUAAGUCCCUUAACGAGCGAAACCCUUGUCCCUAGUUGCCAGCGGGUUAUGCCGGGACUCUAGGGAGACCGCCGGUGUUAAACCGGAGGAAGGUGGGGAUGACGUUAAGUCCUAUGGCCUUUAUGGCCAGGGCUGCACACGUCCUACAAUGCGGCGUACAAAGGGAAGCGAAUCGCGAGAGGGUGCAAAUCCCAAAAAGCGUCGCUCAGUUCGGAUUGCAGGCUGCAACUCCCUGCAUGAAGCUGGAAUCGCUAGUAAUCGCGGGUCAGCAUACCCDGGUGAAUGUGUUCUGGGCCUUGUACACACCGCCCGUCAAGCCACGAAAGUNGGGGGCCGCCGAAGUCGCCAACUAACUCGCAAGAGAGGCAGGCGCCGAAGCGGAACUCCGUGAUUGGGACU
Molecule: ribosomal RNA, 606 nt
Filed under: uncultured Lake Michigan sediment bacterium LMBA16
Lineage: Bacteria; Pseudomonadati; Planctomycetota; Planctomycetia; Planctomycetales
Description: bacterial SSU rRNA
Rfam family: Bacterial small subunit ribosomal RNA
Source: RNAcentral